Equus caballus (horse) is the source of this 1451-nucleotide long non-coding RNA. RefSeq lists it as uncharacterized. NCBI's taxonomy places the organism in Eukaryota, Metazoa, Chordata, Mammalia, Perissodactyla, Equidae. The record is from RefSeq and is a predicted model, not a curated record.
CAAAGUGUUUUUUAUAACUUUAAAAAUUGUUUUAUGUAUCUCCCACUAAAAAUAGUUGGUAGGAAUGUAACGAAUGAAAUGUAAUCCUUUUCUAUAUUUCUCUCUCUCAUAUGUCAUUGUUUUAACUUACUACGAUUUGCUUCCUACACUCACAUACACACUUAAAGAAUUAAGUACUAUCCUAAAACAGAAAGAAACCAAAGCUACAGCAAGUGCAUGCACCGCCUAUUAAUAUCUAUUUAUUUCCAUAUUAACAUGGUAUCAAUAAAUUUAGAAAACAUUAUAUGCUAACAGGGAAUGGUAAUUUUCAUCAUAUAAAGUAAGUACUUAAUCAAUCCUUAUAUCUUAAUCACAAUUUGGAAUAGACAUUAAUCUGGUCUAGCAAUAAGUUGGGCAUUUUGUUUUGCAAAACAAAAAAAGGCAGAGUCAGGUGUUCAUCACGGAGGCAUCCAUCAGGUGAAGAGAAACUGCUGGCUGUCGCCACCCUCCAUGCUGCUGUCCUGCUUCGGUAUUAGAAUGGUUGUGGGGAUCUUGGCCGCAUUUCCAGGGACUGUGUUUCCGUCCCCUCCCGACCCUGCGGCAAAGUGUGACCACGUGACUCGCCCUCCCCAGUGGAGCAUGCGCAGAAAUGUUGGGAGCAGCUUCCGGUUCACCUGCGUGAGAGGGAAUCUCUGGCCUUAGACGCAGUUCUUUCCACCUUUCUGUCUGUCUGUUUUGGCCGCAACUUGGACAGCCUUGGAAGCCAUGUGUUGAAGGACUGCCGUUUUUCAGCCUGGAAGCGGGGGCAAACCCACCUGGCAUUCCCAAACUGGCCAUGGGAUGCGCGAGACAUAAAGACAUUUUUCAUCAAUCCUUGAGUCCCUUCUUUUUUUCCUCUUCUAACUAUGUUGCCUUUUAGUCUCUUUCUCUGUACGAUCCCCUCUAACACCACUGCUUGAGGUGGGGACCUCCUCAUUUUUUCACCUAGACUAUUGUUACGGGCUCUGAUCUGGCCCCACCUCUUUGGCACCUUUCUCUUCAAAUCCCCCCUCUGUGUGGCAGCUGGUGAGCUCCCUGAAAUGACAGUCUGAUGCGGUCACUUCCAAGCUAAGGACCACGGCAUUUGCUCAGCAGUUCUUUUACAGAGAAACUAAUGUCCACAGAAUAUCAAGAAACCAAAGCUUCCCGGGCCCAACUGCUCGGCUUCCUGACAUCAGAGUCUACCUUCCACCAUGGAGAUAAACAGUCAAGGACACUCAUCUGAGAAAUCCUUUGUCUCCGCUGGAAGCAGCCCCAGAUGCAGGCAUAUGGGAAAAUGCCAACCAAGAAGAGCAUAGCCCCCUUCCCCUACCUAAAACCCCAAAUAAAAACUCCUACCUGUUUCUUAACGGAAAGCAAGCAAGUUUUGGGGCACUAGCCCUUGCUUUGCUCCCUCUGCCUGGCAAAAUAAAGCUUCCCUUUUUCUCCCAAAA